UUGGAACAUCCUAGAAUGUUGUAGAGAAGCCUACUAUGUACUACACUAAGAAUUCUAAAAUGUAGUAGAAGGUAGUUGUCCUAGAUAUUUCUAUGAAAGGUUCUAGAGAAGACUUUGUAGCUCUUGGAUCAAAAAGAUCCUAGCCAUCCAUUGAGGAGAUGGAUGGCUAUAUAAGGGGCGAGGCCUUAUUUGUAAGGAUCAUCCAAGAGGAAAUCUAAGAGAGCUCAACAGUGAGUGCCAAGAGUGAAUCUUAUACUUUGUGUGCUAGUUAGUGUGGUCGAGACUCGCUAACAAAUUAUCUUGGUUUUGGUCAAAUUAACGUCCAUCAAGCCAAGAUAGGUCAUUAUGGGAUCAUGAGAGCAAACUCAUAGCGGCUGUACAUUCCCUGCCUCGAAGAUUAUUUGGGUUUUGCCGUUCAAAUAAUCAAAAAAGUUACAAAAGUAUUUUGACACUCAAAACACGUUGCAGUUAUACAAAGUAAUAUUUUGUGCUAGUCCACACGACAAGUUACUAAACUGUCUAAAAAUUUAGAAAUUUGUAGAAAUCAUUAUUUAAUGUUUCCCCUCACUACAGGAAAUAAUGGUUUUAAUGACGUUUAUUUAACGACGCUUUUUAAAACGUCACUUUUGUGAUAUUUAACGAUGUUUUAUAAACGCUGCGUAUUUUUAGAAUUAAAACGACCCUGUUUCAAUAAUAGAAGGCGUUUAAAACGCCUUCAAAUGUCUACACCCUCCCCCAUUUCUCUCUUUUCAAACCCUUAUUAUAAAUCCUCUGGAAAACGAUCGACUCACUCUCUCUCUCUUUAAACUCUCUUUAAACCCUAAUCUCGCUUUGAGUGAUUUCAAGCUCCAUUGCAGAUUCUCAGUAAAAUUCUCUCUCUCUCUCUCUCUCUCUCUAUUUAUACGAGACCUGUACAUACAUUGAUGUGGUAUUUGAUUUAUCGUUCAGAUGUUCGGGAGCUUUAUCCUGAUUAGGCUCCAUCGUCUACAAAGGUCAAGGCAUUGAGAGAAGGAAGAAAGGUGAAUGGAGAGAUAUACAACCAUGAGGAACUGCGCAAGCAUUUGCCUAAGCACAAGUUUUGGGCUGGUAGUGAUUGUGAGGUUAUCGCACAUUUGUAUGAAGAGUAUGGAGAAGAGUUUGUGGACAUGUUGGAUGGAAUGUUUUCAUUUGUGUUACUGGAUACCCGCAACAACAACUUCAUCACUUAGUAGUCAUCCCACUGUUCGGCCAAUGCCACAUCAACAACAAUCUCAAACAUUUUCAUCCUAAGGUUCACCUUUCAAAGAAAGAGAAGAAGAAUAAGAAGAAGAAGAACUAACAAGGUUGUGGUUUCACUUAAUAGUCAUCCCACUGUUUGGCCAAUGCCAUAUCAACAACAAUCUCAUACAUUUUCAUCCAAAGAGGUUCACAUUUCAAAGAAAGAGAAGAAGAAGAACUAACAAGGUAAAAGUUUGAUGUCCCUUUCUUUGAAUAAUAGGUUGGAACUGUUUAUUUGAAUAGGUUUAUUGAAUAGGACAAGAACUUGAAUAUGGCAAAUGGAAAUGCUUCAUAUGAUAUUCACCAUCCAUGCAGGUACUUCGAUACAUGUAUGUUUGGUUCUCUUUGAUGUCUUUUUUAUUUUGUCAUUAUUAUUACUGUUUUUUUUAACUAACCUUUAAGUGUUUUGAAUUGCCUGAAGAGUUAAUGAUGCUAUUCAGAGAGAACUUCACAAACCUGAGUCUGAUCGCUCUUGCAUACAUCUAGAGUUCAAUAUAUCAGGAACUGGUAAUAUGUGGCAAAGCGACGAUGUUUGGAGGAGUGCAAAUUGAUCAGCAGGAUCAUACGUGUAAUAACCCUCACCACUGUUUACUGAAAAGCUAUUGAUUACUGUUAAAUUAAGGCUAAAUAUGUUAAUUGACUGACUGACUGAAAACUGAAGCCGAAUUGAUUGAGUAUAUUAGUUAAAUUGCAACUCUAUCUGUUUGACUGUUUAAUUAGCUGUUCAUGUUUUAUGCUUUAAACUGCAAA
Non-coding RNA from Camellia sinensis, 2007 nucleotides. The record is from RefSeq and is a predicted model, not a curated record. Lineage: Eukaryota; Viridiplantae; Streptophyta; Magnoliopsida; Ericales; Theaceae.